CGCGGGGUGGAGAAGUGGUAUCUCGCGAGGCUCAUAACCUCGAGAUAGUCCGUUCGAUUCGGGCCCCCGCAACCA
Molecule: transfer RNA, 75 nt
Filed under: Candidatus Vogelbacteria bacterium CG22_combo_CG10-13_8_21_14_all_37_9
Lineage: Bacteria; Candidatus Vogeliibacteriota
Description: tRNA-Met
Rfam family: tRNA
About the family: Transfer RNA (tRNA) molecules are approximately 80 nucleotides in length.
Source: RNAcentral